UUCAGCUUGAAAAAAACCAAAACAUAUUGGUCAACCCCUAGUGCAGUCUAUAUGUAUCUGUUUGUAUUUAUGUGUCUAAGCAUGUGUUCAUCAUUUUGUUAUUUUGUGUGUUAACAGGUUGGUUAGAAUCCUUUUCUGAUCUGAUGUGUUCCGGUCUCCUGAGAUAGGAGGCACUGUUUCUAAAAUGAAUUUCUCUGGGGAGCCAGAAACCAAAGCAGGAAUCCUCAGCCCUGAUAGAAAUAGGGUCCAGGAUGAAAGAGCAGGGUCACCUGUACCCAGCUGUCUGUCCAUGAAGAGUGAUCAUUCAAUGGAUGAUCCAAUUGUUUUUAAAGGGGAAUUCACAGGUGAUUCAAGGGUCCAGGAGGAAAGAGCAGGGGCACCUGUACCCAGCUGCCUGUCUAUGAAGAGUGAUCAUUCAAUGGAUGAUCCAAUUGUCUUUAAAGGGGAAUCCACAGGCGAUUCAAG
This is a long non-coding RNA of Anguilla rostrata (American eel), 465 nucleotides long. RefSeq lists it as uncharacterized. The record is from RefSeq and is a predicted model, not a curated record. Lineage: Eukaryota; Metazoa; Chordata; Actinopteri; Anguilliformes; Anguillidae. The transcript is spliced from 3 exons.